CGGCCACAUUGGGACUGAGACACGGCCCAANACUCCUACGGGAGGCAGCAGUAGGGAAUCUUCCACAAUGGACGCAAGUCUGAUGGAGCAACGCCGCGUGAGUGAAGAAGGUUUUCGGAUCGUAAAGCUCUGUUGUUGGNUGAAGAAG
This 148-nucleotide ribosomal RNA is filed under the name uncultured bacterium. RNAcentral describes it as "partial 16S ribosomal RNA". It matches the Rfam family "Bacterial small subunit ribosomal RNA", at positions 305 to 450 of the family's 1533-position model. The record is from RNAcentral.